GUCUACGGCCAUACUACCCUGAACACGCCCAAUCUCGUCUGAUCUCGGAAGCUAAGCAGGGUCAGGCCUGGUUAGUACUUGGAUGGGAGACAUCCCAAAUAGUCAACAACUAAAGUAA
Podarcis lilfordi (Lilford's wall lizard) is the source of this 118-nucleotide non-coding RNA. Lineage: Eukaryota; Metazoa; Chordata; Lepidosauria; Squamata; Lacertidae. The record is from the annotation of a GenBank genome assembly.